AGAUCAUCUGAGCCUGGGAGGUUGAGGCUGCAGUGAACCAUGAUCGUGUCACUGCACUCCAGCCCAGGCAACAAGA
Molecule: small nuclear RNA, 76 nt
Filed under: Homo sapiens (human)
Lineage: Eukaryota; Metazoa; Chordata; Mammalia; Primates; Hominidae
Description: partial ncRNA
Source: RNAcentral